UGGAUGUCAACAAUUCCUGGUGGAUCAGCAAAUGCAGAGCAGAAACAAAUGCCAGCAAACAGGAAUGGAUAUUUGCCUUCAAAAGGAAUUAUGAAUGUGCAAGAAAUGACAAGUCAGAUUUACAGCUCUGAGAUAAAUAAAAAACCCUUUUUAACAUGCUUCAUCAAUGCUUGAAUUGCUGACCUACAUACAAGUUAAACUAAGUGGAAUUUGCUUAUCGCUAACAACGAUUUCUUCAUUGGUUGCAUUAGUAUUCUGUCUUUAAUAGCCAGCAAAAGAGGAAGUGAAGCACCAUGCUUUUCCACCUGGAUGUCUAGUUCUUUAAAAAAAAACUCCAAAUAGGGAAGUUCUAUUAGUAAUACACACGUUUCCAAGGCACAACUAAGCAUAUGUGAAAAGUACUUGGCUGGCACAACUGCUGGAGAGGGAGUCAGCCAGCAAACUUGGGGUGGAACUGAGUUUGAGUGUGUGUAUUUGCCAGCUGCAUUUCUGCUGUUCAGUGACCUGUAUGCCUUGCACUGUUAGAACAUGCAGAUGAGCCUUCCCUGGAAAGGAGCAGAAAUUCCUUAGCCAGAUGGCAGAAUUAAAAUGACCUUCACCUGGCCUUAAUCUAUGUGAAGCUGUAUGGCCAUCCGAGAUUUACAAAAAUAAUAACAAUAGAAGAGGAAAAUGUACACCCUUGGCACAAAGCAAAGGAAACCUCUUUUAUUCUCAAAGGGCUUCUCAGUUCAAUGACUUGGAAUUCUAUUGCAGAGGCUUUUUGUCUUAUUGUUGUACAAUUUGUAAUACAGUAGCAAUGUAUCUAACUUCUGAAUGUUAGUCCAAAACUAACAGCAGUGAAAAGAACAAAAUAUUCUCUUGUUCAUAAAUAUAUUUACAAAUGCAAAGACCAAGUAUAUGAAUAUAAAUUUUAUUCUACAGUUCUAUGGUGCCAUCUCAAAAUGUCCUAAAUGCUCUCUCCAGUCUCUUACAUUAGCUGUGCUCCUUAUUCAUCAUCCUUUUCUUGUUAGUAUUGCAAAGCCCAGUGGGCAUCAUAGCAGCUUCAUAGGCGGAGUUUAUAAGUGAAGGUGGCUAUCCUCAGGCCUGUAGCAAGGGGGGGGGGGUUAGGGGUUCAACCCCCCCCCAAAAAAAAAUUCAGGUUAAAAAAAAACCUGGUUUACUCAUGAAUUUUAACUGGUUAACCAAAUCCCCAUGCUAAUUC
Molecule: long non-coding RNA, 1201 nt
Filed under: Anolis carolinensis (green anole)
Lineage: Eukaryota; Metazoa; Chordata; Lepidosauria; Squamata; Anolidae
Description: lncRNA (ENSACAG00000044966.1)
Source: RNAcentral